UGGAUCCAGACUUUGAUCCUGGCUCAGGAUGAACGCUGGCGGCGUGCCUAAUACAUGCAAGUCGAACGAAACUUCUUUAUCACCGAGUGCUUGCACUCACCGAUAAAGAGUUGAGUGGCGAACGGGUGAGUAACACGUGGGCAACCUGCCCGAAAGAGGGGGAUAACACUUGGAAACAGGUGCUAAUACCGCAUAACCAUGAAUACCGCAUGGUAUUUAUGUGAAAGGUGGUUUCGGCUACCGCUUUCGGAUGGGCCCGCGGCGCAUUAGCUAGUUGGUGGGGUAAAGGCUUACCAAGGCAAUGAUGCGUAGCCGAACUGAGAGGUUGAUCGGCCACAUUGGGACUGAGACACGGCCCAAACUCCUACGGGAGGCAGCAGUAGGGAAUCUUCCACAAUGGGCGAAAGCCUGAUGGAGCAACGCCGCGUGGGUGAAGAAGGCCUUCGGAUCGUAAAACCCUGUUGUCAGAGAAGAAAGUGCAUGAGAGUAACUGUUCAUGUUUCGACGGUAUCUGACCAGAAAGCCACGGCUAACUACGUGCCAGCAGCCGCGGUAAUACGUAGGUGGCAAGCGUUAUCCGGAUUUAUUGGGCGUAAAGGGAACGCAGGCGGUCUUUUAAGUCUGAUGUGAAAGCCUUCGGCUUAACCGGAGUAGUGCAUUGGAAACUGGGAGACUUGAGUGCAGAAGAGGAGAGUGGAACUCCAUGUGUAGCGGUGAAAUGCGUAGAUAUAUGGAAGAACACCAGUGGCGAAAGCGGCUCUCUGGUCUGUAACUGACGCUGAGGUUCGAAAGCGUGGGUAGCAAACAGGAUUAGAUACCCUGGUAGUCCACGCCGUAAACGAUGAAUGCUAAGUGUUGGAGGGUUUCCGCCCUUCAGUGCUGCAGUUAACACAAUAAGCAUUCCGCCUGGGGAGUACGACCGCAAGGUUGCAACUCAAAGGAAUUGACGGA
Molecule: ribosomal RNA, 951 nt
Filed under: uncultured Bacillota bacterium
Lineage: Bacteria; Bacillati; Bacillota
Description: bacterial SSU rRNA
Rfam family: Bacterial small subunit ribosomal RNA
Source: RNAcentral